AUGCAAGUCGAGCGGGGGAAGGUAGCUUGCUACCGGACCUAGCGGCGGACGGGUGAGUAAUGCUUAGGAAUCUGCCUAUUAGUGGGGGACAACAUCUCGAAAGGGAUGCUAAUACCGCAUACGUCCUACGGGAGAAAGCAGGGGAUCUUCGGACCUUGCGCUAAUAGAUGAGCCUAAGUCGGAUUAGCUAGUUGGUGGGGUAAAGGCCUACCAAGGCGACGAUCUGUAGCGGGUCUGAGAGGAUGAUCCGCCACACUGGGACUGAGACACGGCCCAGACUCCUACGGGAGGCAGCAGUGGGGAAUAUUGGACAAUGGGGGGAACCCUGAUCCAGCCAUGCCGCGUGUGUGAAGAAGGCCUUAUGGUUGUAAAGCACUUUAAGCGAGGAGGAGGCUACUUUAGUUAAUACCUAGAGAUAGUGGACGUUACUCGCAGAAUAAGCACCGGCUAACUCUGUGCCAGCAGCCGCGGUAAUACAGAGGGUGCGAGCGUUAAUCGGAUUUACUGGGCGUAAAGCGUGCGUAGGCGGCUUAUUAAGUCGGAUGUGAAAUCCCCGAGCUUAACUUGGGAAUUGCAUUCGAU
Molecule: ribosomal RNA, 582 nt
Filed under: Acinetobacter baumannii Canada BC-5
Lineage: Bacteria; Pseudomonadati; Pseudomonadota; Gammaproteobacteria; Moraxellales; Moraxellaceae
Description: bacterial SSU rRNA
Rfam family: Bacterial small subunit ribosomal RNA
Source: RNAcentral